Non-coding RNA from Cinara cedri, 573 nucleotides. Lineage: Eukaryota; Metazoa; Arthropoda; Insecta; Hemiptera; Aphididae. The record is from the annotation of a GenBank genome assembly.
AGACGAUCGCGUUAAUUGUCGUUACACUCGUGGCCCGCGAUACGCCGGGACAAUCGGCUCGAACACUAUUGUACCGGUAUUAGCUAGCACAGGUACUUUUUAUUCCGCCUCUUUGUUUUCGACCGGUUACGAGACCGUUAUAAUACCGAUGUACGUGUUACCGUACUCAUUGCCACUUAUCCAUCUACACCCCCGUCGGCAUUUCGCUUCCGUUGACUGUUCGCGGCUCCGCCGUGCAGUGGCGUAGUGUAGAGGAGGUCAGGGUGUCCUCUCUCCGUAUUUAUUUGACUUUUUUUUUUUUUAGAAUGCGUGUUGAUAAAAUCAUUUUUUUUUUCAUUUUUUCGACGGGGACGGGGGUCGAAAUUCUCUUUAUCUACGCACAUUUAUCGAGCGAAAAAGUAUUUAUCGCCCUCCCAAUUUAAAAUCUCGGCUACGCCACUGACACCGCAUCGUCGCGUCUUCAAACCGCGCUCCUACCGGUUAUACCGCGUUAACCGCGGUCCUCCCGGGGGCGCUCUUCCGAACAGGCGAUUCGAUUUGUUUUUUCUAAUCUCCUUUUGCUGUAACAUAUCU